This 1295-nucleotide ribosomal RNA is filed under the name human gut metagenome. Its description in RNAcentral is "bacterial LSU rRNA". It matches the Rfam family "Bacterial large subunit ribosomal RNA", at positions 1155 to 2470 of the family's 2925-position model. The record is from RNAcentral.
AAACCUGCGCCGAAAAUGUAACGGGGCUAAAACACGACACCGAAGCUACGGAUUCCUUACAAAGUAAGGAGUGGUAGAGGAGCAUCCUGCAAGGACGAAGCCAAAGUGAGAGCGAUGGUGGACGAAACAGGAGAGAGAAUGCCGGAAUGAGUAGCGAGAUACAUGUGAGAAACAUGUAGGCCGAAUAUCUAAGGAUUCCUGGGUAAAGCUAAUCUUCCCAGGGUUAGUCGGGGCCUAAGGCGAGGACGAAAGUCGUAGUCGAUGGAUAACAGGUUGAUAUUCCUGUACUACACAUAAUCAGAACUGUGGGGACGCAGGAGGAUAGGGAAACCGGGGAAUGGAAAGACCCGGUCAAGCGUAAAGCUGUGGGAGAUAGGCAAAUCCGUCUCCUGUAAGUGAAACGUGAUGAGGACUGAAAAAAAGUAAGGAAGUUUCCGAAUCCACACUGCCGAGAAAAGCCGCUAUUGCGUUAUGUGUACCCGUACCGUAAACCGACACAGGUAGAUGAGGAGAAAAUCCACAGGCCGACGGGAGAAGUGUUGUUAAGGAACUCGGCAAAAUGACCCCGUAACUUCGGGAUAAGGGGAGCCUCGCAAGAGGCCGCAGAAAAGAGGCACAAGCAACUGUUUAGCAAAAACAUAGGUCUAUGCGAAACCGUAAGGUGAAGUAUAUGGGCUGACGCCUGCCCGGUGCUGGAAGGUUAAAAGGAGAGGUUCGGAGAAACCAAAGCUUUGAAUUCAAGCCCCAGUAAACGGCGGCCGUAACUAUAACGGUCCUAAGGUAGCGAAAUUCCUUGUCAGGUAAGUUCUGACCCGCACGAAAGGCGUAAUGAUUUGUGCACUGUCUCGACAACACGCCCGGUGAAAUUGAAGAACCAGUGAAGAUACUGGUUACCCGCAACAGGACGGAAAGACCCCAUGGAGCUUUACUGCAGCCUGAUACUGGGAUUCGAUGAUAUAUGUACAGGAUAGGUGGGAGGCUAAGAAGCGAGAACGCUAGUUUUCGUGGAGCCGCCGGUGGGAUACCACUCUUAUGUCAUUGAAUUUCUAACCUGCAUCCGUAAUCCGGGUGAGGGACAAUGUCAGGCGGGCAGUUUGACUGGGGCGGUCGCCUCCUAAAAGGUAACGGAGGCGCUCGAAGGUCACCUCAGAAUGAUUGGAAACCAUUCAAAGAGUGUAAAGGCAAAAGGUGGCUUGACUGCGAGAGCGACGGCUCGAGCAGGUACGAAAGUAGGACUUAGUGAUCCGGUGGUAAUAAGUGGGAAUGCCAUCGCUCAACGGAUAAAAGCUACCCUG